AUAAACAACAACAAUGCAUCUAAGAGACUGUGUAUGAU
This 38-nucleotide non-coding RNA is filed under the name Trypanosoma brucei brucei. The record is from RNAcentral. Lineage: Eukaryota; Euglenozoa; Kinetoplastea; Trypanosomatida; Trypanosomatidae.